GUUGAACGCUGGCGGCGUGCCUAACACAUGCAAGUCGAGCGGACAGAUGGGGAUUGUGCUCCUCUGACGUGACCGACGGACGGGUGAGUCCUACGUGUCUACCCGAUCUAUAGGAAUGGCAUAAGGACGGGGAAGCUGAUACAAUAUCGGACAAGAUAUUGAACGGCAGGGUUCAAGAGGGAAAGACGGAUUUGCUGACACUUAUAGAUGGAUCCACGUCGCAUUAGCUAGUUGGUAAGGUAACGGCUUACCAAGGCGACGAUGCGUAGCCGACCUGAGAGGAUGAUCAGCCACACUGGAACUGAGACACGGUCCAGACUCCUACGGGAGGCAGCAGUGGGGAAUAUUCCACAAUGGGCGAAAGCCUGACGCAGCAACGCCGCGUGUGUGAUGAAGGUCUUCGGAUCGUAAAGCUCUGUUAGUUGGGAGGAAGGGCAGUGUAUUAAUCUCUUCACGUAUUGACGUUACCAACUGAAUAAGCCCCGGCUAACUACGUG
This 497-nucleotide ribosomal RNA is filed under the name uncultured bacterium. RNAcentral's name for it is "partial 16S ribosomal RNA". It matches the Rfam family "Bacterial small subunit ribosomal RNA", at positions 28 to 507 of the family's 1533-position model. The record is from RNAcentral.